This 484-nucleotide ribosomal RNA is filed under the name uncultured bacterium. RNAcentral describes it as "partial 16S ribosomal RNA". It matches the Rfam family "Bacterial small subunit ribosomal RNA", at positions 28 to 507 of the family's 1533-position model. The record is from RNAcentral.
AUUGAACGCUGGCGGCAUGCUUUACACAUGCAAGUCGAACGGCAGCGCGGGCUUCGGCCUGGCGGCGAGUGGCGAACGGGUGAGUAAUGCAUCGGAACGUGCCCAGUCGUUGGGGAUAGCCCGGCGAAAGCCGGAUUAAUACCGCAUACGACCUGAGGGUGAAAGCGGGGGACCGAAAGGCCUCGCGCUAUUGGAGCUGCCGAUGUCGGAUUAGCUAGUUGGUGGGGUAAAGGCUUACCAAGGCGACGAUCCGUAGCUGGUCUGAGAGGACGACCAGCCACACUGGGACUGAGACACGGCCCAGACUCCUACGGGAGGCAGCAGUGGGGAAUUUUGGACAAUGGGGGCAACCCUGAUCCAGCCAUGCCGCGUGCGGGAAGAAGGCCUUCGGGUUGUAAACCGCUUUUGUUCGGGAAGAAAUCCUCUGGGCUAAUACCCCGGGGGGAUGACGGUACCGGAAGAAUAAGCACCGGCUAACUACGUG